AACGAACGCUGGCGGCAGGCCUAACACAUGCAAGUCGAGCGCCCCGCAAGGGGAGCGGCGGACGGGUGAGUACCGCGUGGGAAUAUGCCCUUUGCUACGGAAUAGUCUCGGGAAACUGGGGGUAAUACCGUAUACGCCCUUUGGGGGAAAGAUUUAUCGGCGAAGGAUUAGCCCGCGUUGGAUUAGGUAGUUGGUGGGGUAAUGGCCUACCAAGCCGACGAUCCAUAGCUGGUUUGAGAGGAUGAUCAGCCACACUGGGACUGAGACACGGCCCAGACUCCUACGGGAGGCAGCAGUGGGGAAUCUUAGACAAUGGGGGCAACCCUGAUCUAGCCAUGCCGCGUGAGUGAUGGAGGCCUUAGGGUUGUAAAGCUCUUUCAGCUGGGAAGAUAAUGACGGUACCAGCAGAAGAAGCCCCGGCUAACUCCGUG
RNAcentral lists this ribosomal RNA (431 nucleotides) under uncultured bacterium. Its description in RNAcentral is "partial 16S ribosomal RNA". It matches the Rfam family "Bacterial small subunit ribosomal RNA", at positions 29 to 507 of the family's 1533-position model. The record is from RNAcentral.